GGCCGCCUGGCGAAAUGGCAUCGCGUCUGACUACGAUAUCGGCGAUCAGGAGAUUGCAGGUUCGACCCCUGCGGUGGUCA
Molecule: non-coding RNA, 80 nt
Organism: Suillus cothurnatus
Lineage: Eukaryota; Fungi; Basidiomycota; Agaricomycetes; Boletales; Suillaceae
Source: the annotation of a GenBank genome assembly